Molecule: long non-coding RNA, 2498 nt
Filed under: Macaca fascicularis (crab-eating macaque)
Lineage: Eukaryota; Metazoa; Chordata; Mammalia; Primates; Cercopithecidae
Description: lncRNA (ENSMFAG00000047512.1)
Source: RNAcentral
UUUUUAUUUUUUUUAUUUUUUUGUAGAGACAGAGUCUCACUAUGUUGCCCAGGUUGGUCUCAAGCUCUUGUGCUCAAGUGAGCCUCCUGUCUUGGCCUUACAAAAUGGUCAUUUUUAAAGAGCUAACAACCUUUUGUCAGAAGUCUCUAGUCUCCUAAAAAUUCCCUUCAUGUCUCACUGACCAGAGUGUGGUCAUAUGCCAUUUCUCUAAGCCACACUCUGGAGAAUAGAAUCAGAACGACUGACUUAGAAAAUCAACAUUCAACUUCCAGUUCUGAUGUUUGAGCAAGCUCUGGCCGAAACACUUGAUUUCACAGAGCAGUGUGGGUAUCUGAACAAAAGUCAUGGUUCUGUUAGCAUGGAGAAGAAUGAGGAAGUGGCGGUUGUGUGGAUAACCAACAGUGAUUGCUGUAGUUGCUCACUGGCAUUCUGAUGUGCUUUCUUGAGGAAGAACAGAGGGAUUAAGGUAUAAUUAGAGCAACAGGAAUGGCACAUAAUGUGGUAUGUCUCUAUCGGAAUGUGUGAUGAAAAUGGCUAAAAUGCAUCUUGGCUGGAACCAGAUUAAGACCUGCUUGCUUCUCCAUAUCUCUGACCUUCACUUUGCAUGUGUUACUCAGUCUAGUGCAAUCUCACUCCCAAGCUCAUUGCAAUGAAUGCUUUAAAUAUGGACAGUCCUCUUUGCAUGGUAGAAAUUUCAGUUACCACAGCUUAGUUAAAUAAUACCAGUUCUCCAGCAUUUCAGAUUUCAGUUACCAUGGUAUAUUAACUAUGAGUAAUUGCAGGAAGUGCAAACUUCACAGCUAGCUCUUUAGUUCACAGAUCACUACAUAAAUAAACAACAUGUACAUCAUAAUCAGUGAUCAAUGAUGUCUGUUGUGGACACUUUGAAGAAUAGGAUGAACUCCCAUCAAAAUUUUUGGUUUGGACGUCAAGACCGAUGACACCAUAAACACACACCAAGAAGGUGUAUGUGUUCUUUACAUUGGUUUGUUAUUUCUGGGAAGAAUAGGGCAGCCCUCCCAAGCUGGUUUGAAAAUGGCUUGAACAGAGGAAGGGAGACUGGCUGGGGGUAUUUAUUGUGCUCUGGGGAGUGAACUAGGAUGAGAGUUUUACACAUAAGCGGGGACUUGCAUGGUUUGAAUCUGUCACCAAAGGAGGGAGCACACAGGCUUUCUUGCCCAGAUGUGGGGCAGAAGGUGAAGAGGGCGAGGUGAGACUUUAGCAGUCAGACAUCAAAAAAAGGGGUUAGGCCGGGCAUGGUGGCUCAUGCCUGUAAUUCCAGCACUUUGGGAGGCCGAGGUGGGCAGAUCACAAGGUCAAGAGCUCAAGACCAGCCCGGCCAACAUAGUGAAACCCUGUCUCUACUAAAAAUACAAAAAAUUAGCUGGGUGUGGUGGAGGACACCUGUAAUUCCGGCUACUCGAGAGGCUGAGGCAGGAGAAUCGCUUGAACCCAGGAGAUGGAGGUUGUAGUGAGUGGAGAUCAUGCCACCACACUCCAGCCUGGGAGAUAGUGUGAGACUCCAUCUCAAAAAAAAAAAAAAAAAAAUGGAGUUAGAUUCUUUACUACAACACCACUUGUUUCAAAGUCUCUUGGUGACUGAUUUCUGUGUAAGUCAUUCAGUUCAUACAUAGACAGCAAAGCAUGUAGCUGUGAUGCCUCCUUGUCUUUCAGUGGUAAUAAGCCCAUGUGACAUUUCACAAAAAUAGGCAAUCAAAAGAAGAAACUGGCCAACAAAGAUCAAAGCGCAGCAGCAAAGAAACAAAAUGUGCCACACGGCAGCCAUGGAUGGAGAUGUUGGUUGGGGGCUGUGCACUGGGGUCUGUGCACAAGCCCAUGACGGACAGGAGUGUACUCCGUUCCUAAGAAGGUCAGAAACUGGAGAACCCAGGUUAGCCCAUCCUAGAAGACUUUUUUGGAGUUGUGCUGAAGGGAGGAGAAAGUUAUUUAAAGGAAGUUCCAGGGCAGAAGGAGAGGAAAGAGAGAAUGAGGCAGAAAAAAUAGUUGAAGAAAUAAUGGCUGAACACUUCCCAACUUUGGUGAAAGAUAUAUUUUCAGAUUCGAGAAGCACAGUAAAACUCAAAGCAGAAUUGGAAAUAAAAAAACAAAAAAGUGUCCCUUGGCACAUCAUAGUCAAACUGCUAAAAAACAAAGAGAAAGAGAAAAUGUUGAAAGCAACCAGAGAAAAAGAACACACUGCAUACACAGAACAACGUUUCAAUGUCACUGUUUUCUCAUGAAAAAUGAUAUAGGCCAGAAGACAGUAGAACAUCUUUAAAAUGCUGAAAGAAAAAGUCAGCUCAGAAAUGCUUUUCCUGGCUGGGCAUGGUGGCUCACGCCUGUAAUCCCAGCACUUUCGAAGGCUGAGGUGGGUGGAUUGCUUGAGCUCAAGAAUUUGAGUCCACCCUGAGCAACUAAGUCAGACCCCACUCUACAAAAAACACAAAAAUUAGCCAGGCAUGGUGAUGUGUGCCUGUAAUCCCAGCUACUUGGGAGAC